Leopardus geoffroyi (Geoffroy's cat) is the source of this 286-nucleotide long non-coding RNA. RefSeq lists it as uncharacterized. NCBI's taxonomy places the organism in Eukaryota, Metazoa, Chordata, Mammalia, Carnivora, Felidae. The record is from RefSeq and is a predicted model, not a curated record. The transcript has 3 exons.
UCAACUUACUAUUUACUUUAAUUAUUAGUAAUUUAUACAUAUUGAUAUUUCCCUUGUAAGUUUAAAUAUAUAUAUAUAUAUCCAUGUAUUUUUAAAAGGAUGUGGUUUUUCAGUUAUUUUUUCUUUUUUUCCCUUUUUUUCGUAUUUUUUCUUUUCAAACUUUUAUUUAAACCCUAGUGAGUUAACAUGCAGGGCAAUAUUGGUUUGGGGAGUAGAAUUCAGUGCUUCAUCACUUUCAUACAACACCCAGUGCUCAUCAUCACAAGUGCCUUUCUUGAUCCCCUUC